UUUACAGCUGGUGUCCAAUCUCUGUGUACCUGCAAACUCUGGCACUGGAGACAUCAUCCGAAACUCUAAGCGCAACACUCAUAAAAAGAUGUGGAUGACUUGGUAGAGACUCCUACUGGGCAGACAGUCGCUGACAACAGGUGGAGACCCCGACAGCACUUUCCAGCUUUCUGUCCAUCGUCAUGCUGAUGACUCUGUACCCGCCAUGCUUUAGCAGAUAUCUACAUUAGAAAAAUAUUUGCCUAUAAAUAGUCAGUAAUUAUUAUAACAAGCUCUGUGCUAUAAAGAAACAUCAGCCUGUGAUCAGAUGAAAGUGUUAGGGAGAAACAGAAAAAAUCACACAUCUGACUAGUCCGUGAUGUGUUUCAACUUGUCCAAACCUUGUUUGUUAUUUGAUUUCUGAGAAGCCAGUCCUGGUUCUGAGAUGGACAUAGACUGAUUGCUUUUUAAUGUGAGGACUACACGUGAUGUAUCCUCUUGACAACUAGUACCACUGUAACGAGUGCUACAGUAAAGUCUUACACAAGCAUUUUGCUCUAAUUUCUCGCCACUUUCAAUUAAAAACUAAAUUUCCCAUGGUGCACCUUGUUGUCUAACCGCGGCUAUUCGACAAUAUUUUCACUGGAUGUUUAGUGAAUUAGUGCAAAUUAUAAAUCAGAAUUAAAAUUUUAAAAAGCUC
Molecule: long non-coding RNA, 679 nt
Organism: Pomacea canaliculata
Lineage: Eukaryota; Metazoa; Mollusca; Gastropoda; Architaenioglossa; Ampullariidae
Exons: 3
Source: RefSeq, a predicted model, not a curated record